AAACUCGUUAUGUUUCCAUUCGCACUGUAUCGGUACUCGGUUACAGCGAGAGUGGACUGUUGACGAUUUUUGUUACGGCCUGUUGCUUGUUUCUUGCACGAGCUCCGGUAGAUUUUUAGACAAUAUUGUUCAUUCUUAUAAGGUUACGGCGUUUUUCCAAAGGUGUUACGGCGUGUUCACCGAAUUCGUUUGAUUAUGGAAUUGUCAUUCAUUGAUGAAUCGUCUGUUAUCAUUAAUGAAACUGAUAUAUCAAUGAACAUUUCUUCGCCAGAUGUGAAAGAAAACAAUAUCACCAAUUCUGACAACAGUCCUGAUAUUACCUGUUAUAACAGCAACCCCAAAAUCAAAGGAUUGCACAUAACACGGCUAUUGGUAUACCAGUCGUUGUGCACUGGCUCGAACGAGAAAUAUGUCAAUGAGUCCACCGACGGUUAUCGACGCUAGAGCGACCACGCAUCAGGCGAGCGCUUUUCCACUGGACUACGACCCGCCCCAACACCGCCCUAAGUGCACGCGAAUCUGGCAUUACAUCAUUUGACAUUCAGUUUUGAUUCUGUCACUAUACAGAGGCGUCGGAACUGGGGCGGUAGGGGAGGCGACCGCCGCCCCAAUAUUCAGGAGAAAAAACUUCUAUAAUUUUUGCGGUGUGAAAUACAUUUGCUACAAAAAUGUGUAUGAGACACCUACCAAAGUUGUCUCUUAAAUGCAGUAGAAUGCAAGAAAUGGCAUCUAGAACUCAAACAUUUUUCUGGGGACCCCCAAACACUGGCUCGGGUCGACAUUUGCUUCCCCAAUAUUAAUUU
This is a long non-coding RNA of Gigantopelta aegis, 803 nucleotides long. RefSeq lists it as uncharacterized. Lineage: Eukaryota; Metazoa; Mollusca; Gastropoda; Neomphalida; Peltospiridae. The record is from RefSeq and is a predicted model, not a curated record. The transcript is spliced from 3 exons.